RNAcentral lists this ribosomal RNA (406 nucleotides) under uncultured bacterium. Its description in RNAcentral is "partial 16S ribosomal RNA". It matches the Rfam family "Bacterial small subunit ribosomal RNA", at positions 30 to 526 of the family's 1533-position model. The record is from RNAcentral.
AUUGAACGCUAGCGGGAGGCCUUACACAUGCAAGUCGAACGAGUGGCGGACGGGUGAGUAAUGUCUGGGAAACUGCCCGAUGGCGGGGGAUAACUACUCGAAACGGUAGCUAAUACCGCAUACCAUCGGAUGUGCCCAGAUGGGAUUAGCUAGUAGGUGGGGUAAAGGCUCACCUAGGCGACGAUCCCUAGCUGGUCUGAGAGGAUGACCAGCCAAACUGGAACUGAGACACGGUCCAGACUCCUACGGGAGGCAGAAGUGGGGAAUAUUGUACAAUGGGCGAAAGCCUGAUGCAGCCAUGCCGCGUGUAUGAAGAAGGCCUUCGGGUUGUAAAGUACUUUCAGCGGGGAGGCGGUACCCGCAGAAGAAGCACCGGCUAACUACGUGCCAGCAGCCGCGGUAAUAC